AAUCCUACGGGGCGCAGCAGUGGGGAAUAUUGGGCAAUGGGCGCAAGCCUGACCCAGCAACGCCGCGUGAAGGAAGAAGGCUUUCGGGUUGUAAACUUCCUUUCUCAGGGACGAAGAAAGUGACGGUACCUGAGGAAUAAGCCACGGCUAACUACGUGCCAGCAGCCGCGGUAAUACGUAGGUGGCAAGCGUUAUCCGGAUUUAUUGGGUGUAAAGGGCGUGUAGGCGGGGGCGCCAGUCAGAUGAG
Molecule: ribosomal RNA, 247 nt
Filed under: uncultured bacterium
Lineage: Bacteria
Description: partial 16S ribosomal RNA
Rfam family: Bacterial small subunit ribosomal RNA
Source: RNAcentral